RNAcentral lists this ribosomal RNA (484 nucleotides) under uncultured organism. RNAcentral describes it as "bacterial SSU rRNA". It matches the Rfam family "Bacterial small subunit ribosomal RNA", at positions 28 to 507 of the family's 1533-position model. The record is from RNAcentral.
GAUGAACGCUGGCGGCAUGCCUAAUACAUGCAAGUCGAACGAGAUGGUUUACCAUCUAGUGGCGAACGGGUGAGUAAUACAUAGAUAACUUACUCUUAAGACGAGGAUAACAGUUGGAAACGACUGCUAAAACUGGAUAGGAUAUUUUGACGCAUGUCUUAAUAUUUAAAAGUGCCUUCAAGCACUACUUAAGAAGAGGUCUAUGUCGCAUUAGCUAGUUGGUGGGGUAAAAGCCUACCAAGGCAACGAUGCGUAGCUGUGCUGAGAGGCAGAACAGCCACACUGGGACUGAGACACGGCCCAGACUCCUACGGGAGGCAGCAGUAGGGAAUUUUCGGCAAUGGGGGGAACCCUGACCGAGCAAUGCCGCGUGAAUUAUGAAGGUCUUCGGAUCGUAAGAUUCUGUUAUUGGGAAAGAACAGCAUAACUAGGAAAUGAGUUAUGCUUGACGGUACCUGAUUAGAAAGCCCCGGCUAACUAUGUG